Molecule: long non-coding RNA, 658 nt
Organism: Cucumis melo (muskmelon)
Lineage: Eukaryota; Viridiplantae; Streptophyta; Magnoliopsida; Cucurbitales; Cucurbitaceae
Exons: 3
Source: RefSeq, a predicted model, not a curated record
CGCACGCGAAAUCCCUGUACCGAGCCGAGCCGCGUCUGCCCAAGCCGAGCCGGUCCUGUCUUCUUCCAGCCGAGCCGCCAGGACUAAAUUGGCUCCAUCCACCUAUAUUUUGGUAAGCUAAUUAAUUAUUGUGGUUUUUCCGGUAAGACUCCAUGCUCGGACGUUAGUUAAAUUAAUUUGGAUCUAAAUUAUAUUAUUUUCCUCAAGGGACGUCUUGGACCAAGAAAUUACUGCAGCGCGGGAUUUCCUUCAGUAGGGGCUCGAGCACUGCAACCUCCUUCUAGGUUAGGACUUCGUCGCUUGGAAAGCGUACUGCCUCGCGGUUAGGACUCGACAAGUAGAUCUCCAGGUAGAGGACGAGGCAAAGGCAAGGGCAAGCUGGCGAGCGACCCGAAGUGAGACCGAGGAGGGCCAUAGGGACUACCGCUUCCGCUUAUUUCUUAUUUCAGAUUUUAGCAUUUGAGUUUGAGUACUUUUUAUUUUUCACUAUCUUUUAUGUAGAUAGGGCCCGAGUAGGAUUUCAGAACGUUUUUACAUUUUUGCAUGACUACCUUGUUUAUGUUUUUAUAAAUGAAUUUCUUGAACCGUAUGCUUUUAAUAAAAUUUUUAGACUUAAACCACUUGUUCUAUAUUUAGUAAUGACUUCGAUUCAGCAUAA